AGUUCUUGUAGACGUCACACCUACAAAACCAACCCUGGUGGUCAAGAACAAAAUGACCACAAACUCUAAAACAUCUGGAAAAGAGUCUCUCCCCUUCGUCCCCUUCGCUGUGGUGACUGUGAUCUUUCUGCACAUCAUCGUAGCUGUGGUCUAUUGCAGCACCAGAAAGAAAGACUCUCCAUAUAGUCCUGAUAGAGUUCAUUACAGCAGAGCUGAUGGAGAUGGAAAAGCGAAUCUGCAGUAGAGAACAUCAUCAGCAGAAGAGA
Molecule: long non-coding RNA, 266 nt
Organism: Clarias gariepinus (North African catfish)
Lineage: Eukaryota; Metazoa; Chordata; Actinopteri; Siluriformes; Clariidae
Exons: 3
Source: RefSeq, a predicted model, not a curated record